UCAGCAACGUGAGGCUCCUUGUAGCAGUGUCUUAAGCAUUCAGCAACGUGAGGAUCCUUGUAGCGGUGUCUUUUGUGACAAUGGAGAUAUCCUGCAGCACAUAAUGAAAAUUGCCAUCUGCAAGAGGGAUUAUCAGGAGGAUUUCAGCAUCAUCUUGGAGGGGGUGCAAGUCAUGGCUGGCUUGGAAAAUCUGGCAAGAGCCUGUGCUGUUCUUCUUGGACUCACAUAUGCACUUAACCUCACCUACCCGAAAGAACUUAGGCACACUUUUGAGGCCUUUCAGAAGCUCUUCUUGGAACUGGAUGUUUGCAAGUUUUCACCAAAAAUACUAACACUUAAAAACAAACUCAUGACUUAGAUUGAGACAAUGCAUUAUUACCAAGUUCUGGUGAAAAGUAAACUGCAUUGAUUGAUGAACGUUUAAUAUUGUUCUACAUACAAGCUUUCAGAAAGUACAAAUGUUUUACAAAGUCUUGCUACAAGUUAUUCUCAAGUUUUAGUCCAUAAUGUGACUUUUCUAACAGAAAAAUGUUGCAUACAAAUUUGUAUGCACAAGUUGUUUUACAAAAUGAUCUUUCUCAUGGAAAAUGUUGGCAUUUUUUAAUUUUAUUUUCAUAUCUUAAAACUGCUGACUUACAUUUUAUACAGAUUUGUUUUAUUUGUGCAAAAAAAAGAAAGAUUAAAAGCAUGUUUGAUAACAAAAA
This is a long non-coding RNA of Megalobrama amblycephala (Wuchang bream), 704 nucleotides long. RefSeq lists it as uncharacterized. The record is from RefSeq and is a predicted model, not a curated record. The transcript has 2 exons. NCBI's taxonomy places the organism in Eukaryota, Metazoa, Chordata, Actinopteri, Cypriniformes, Xenocyprididae.